GGAAAAGAAAUUAACAAAGAUUCCCUCAGUAACGGCGAGUGAAGUGGGAAGUAGCCCAGCACUGAAUCCUCGCGGCUCCUGUGCCGCGCGGACCUGUAGUGUUUGGGGCCCCGGCUUUCGUCCAGUGCUCACGCGCCUCAGUCGCAUUGAAGGGGCUCUCGCUCCACAGCGGGUGUCAGGCCCUUGUGGCUGCGUGGCCGGACGAAGGUUCCAGGGGACCCUCGAGUCGGGUUGUUUGAGAUUGCAGCCCAAAGACGGUGGUAAGCACCAUCGAAGGCUAAAUAUGUCCACGAGUCCGACAGCGAACAAGUACCGUGAGGGAACGUUGAAAAGGACUUCUGAGUGAGAGUUCAAAGUACGUGAAACUGCCUAAAGGGAAACGAGUGGCUCCGCAUAGUCGGCCAGUGGUGUUCACCUCGAGUUGAGCGCGUGCCAGACUUCCGCUGGAAUUCGUCGGUCGAGGGUCGCAAGAUCUUCGGCGUCUGUGAGUCCGCGGUGUGUCUCGGUCGCGAACCUCGGGUGCAUUCGCCGCCAGGCAGGGCGUCACGAUCGCUUUCGAGCGAGUCUACGUCGGCGAUGCCGGCGCGCUUGGCUUUCGCCCCUUGUCCGGGUGUUCGCUCUGUGCGCGGCGCGUCUUCGAGCUCGUACGUGAGCGUGUAACGAUCCUCGCGCUUUCAGAGGCAGACAGACCGCGCAGUCUAUCGGUGAGCCUUCGGGUGGUACCCUCACGGGUGCUCCCGUCGAGGCUCCUGCGGACAGCGCCGGUCAGCCUCGCGCGAGUUUGGAUCGGUGGCGAAUGAGUCGGCCUG
RNAcentral lists this ribosomal RNA (809 nucleotides) under Coccocrater sp. MNHN IM 2013-42857. RNAcentral's name for it is "partial large subunit ribosomal RNA". It matches the Rfam family "Eukaryotic large subunit ribosomal RNA", at positions 55 to 628 of the family's 3401-position model. The record is from RNAcentral. Lineage: Eukaryota; Metazoa; Mollusca; Gastropoda; Cocculinidae.